Molecule: ribosomal RNA, 521 nt
Filed under: uncultured Streptococcus sp.
Lineage: Bacteria; Bacillati; Bacillota; Bacilli; Lactobacillales; Streptococcaceae
Description: bacterial SSU rRNA
Rfam family: Bacterial small subunit ribosomal RNA
Source: RNAcentral
CGGCCGCGUCGACGUUGUAAGAGAAGAACGAGUGUGAGAGUGGAAAGUUCACACUGUGACGGUAUCUUACCAGAAAGGGACGGCUAACUACGUGCCAGCAGCCGCGGUAAUACGUAGGUCCCGAGCGUUGUCCGGAUUUAUUGGGCGUAAAGCGAGCGCAGGCGGUUAGAUAAGUCUGAAGUUAAAGGCUGUGGCUUAACCAUAGUACGCUUUGGAAACUGUUUAACUUGAGUGCAAGAGGGAGAGUGGAAUUCCAUGUGUAGCGGUGAAAUAGCGUAGAUAUAUGGAGGAACAACCGGUGGCGAAAGCGGCUCUCUGGCUUGUAACUGACGCUGAGGCUCGAAAGCGUGGGAGGCAAACAGGAUUAGAUACCCUGGUAGUCCACGCCGUAAACGAUGAGUGCUAGGUGUUGGAGGUUUCCGCCUCUCAGUGCUGCAGCUAACGCAUUAAGCACUCCGCCUGGGGAGUACGACCGCAAGGUUGAAACUCAAAGGAAUUGACGGGGCCGCAAGUCGUGGAGG